UACGGGGGGGGGCAAGCGUUGUUCGGAAUUACUGGGCGUAAAGGGCUCGUAGGUGGCCAACUAAGUCAGACGUGAAAUCCCUCAGCUUAACUGGGGAACUGCGUCUGAUACUGGAUGGCUUGAGUUUGGGAGAGGGACGCGGAAUUCCAGGUGUAGCGGUGAAAUGCGUAGAUAUCUGGAGGAACACCGGUGGCGAAGGCGGCAUCCUGGACCAAUACUGACACUGAGGAGCGAAAGCCAGGGGAGCAAACGGG
This 254-nucleotide ribosomal RNA is filed under the name uncultured bacterium. Its description in RNAcentral is "partial 16S ribosomal RNA". It matches the Rfam family "Bacterial small subunit ribosomal RNA", at positions 524 to 776 of the family's 1533-position model. The record is from RNAcentral.